RNAcentral lists this ribosomal RNA (83 nucleotides) under Bacillus subtilis. RNAcentral's name for it is "partial 23S ribosomal RNA". RNAcentral also lists the same sequence under 1 other name. Lineage: Bacteria; Bacillati; Bacillota; Bacilli; Caryophanales; Bacillaceae. The record is from RNAcentral.
GAUCAGGUUGAUAGGUCUGAGGUGGAAGUGUGGCGACACAUGGAGCUGACAGAUACUAAUCGAUCGAGGACUUAACCACAUUU